UAUGACUAUUUCUUCAGUACGAAAGGACCAAGAAAAUAGGACCUAUACUCUCAGCAAGUCCUCAUCAUCUAUUGAAAUAAUAUUAAAUUCACAGUACCUCAUUAUCCAAAACCAGGAC
This 118-nucleotide ribosomal RNA is filed under the name Varanus olivaceus. RNAcentral's name for it is "partial 16S ribosomal RNA". Lineage: Eukaryota; Metazoa; Chordata; Lepidosauria; Squamata; Varanidae. The record is from RNAcentral.